CUGGCUGCCACUGGGGAAGGGUCUCUUGCUGGAGAUUGCUCUUGUGGAGUUAACUGUGAGCCUAUAAUGCUGGAAAAUUAGGUUUUCCUCUCAACAUAAGCUCCGUGGCAAAGUAUUUCACACUUCUGAAGCUGCCAGUGCAAUGUUAACUUCCAUCCCUCAGUUCUGCUGUCUGAAGACACUCUGAAAAGCAAGAAGACAGAGGUCCAGUUUGUGUGAAGAGAUGAUGAGGAACACCAGCCUAAGACCUUACUCUAGCAGAAGAUAGAGGAGCUGCAAAAACAUGAAUUCUGGACAUACUGGUGAAUUAUAAACUCAACAACCAGCUGGAUUUGGGAGGAUACAGCAGUAAGGUAGAAAGGAGGAGGAAGGCACAGAUGAGUUGGCAUUGGUAGGGUACCAAAAGAUGGAAAAUCCUCCUCCUUGGUGGAAACAUCAUCUUUGUCAAGUCAGGACACUGCUCUGCAUCUUUUUUGAUCAGCUGAGUUUGGUUUUUGCUGCCCUGUGAGGUGGGUUACCAGGGCCAGUUCCACCCUGUCUGGGACAAGGAUGUGCUUUUCCAUCCUGCCCACAAGAGCAGAACCAGGUCCUGCCCCAUCCCAAAACCCAUCGUUUACAAGAUACCUGCUGGAGCUUUCAAUACUGGGCUAGGUCUGUACUGCAGGCACAAAUAUACAAAACACACAAUACACUACAGCUGUGAUUCUGUUGUCACUACCAUGAUUUUGUUGUUUACUCCUGCAUACCUUCAUUCCUGAAUGUGCAGCUAUUCCAGCAUCAUGAUGGUACUAGAGAAGGGAUGCACCCCAAACCUGCCAACAGCACAUAUGUGGGUGCCACACAUUUCAUAAUAAUUCUGCACGAAGGAAAUACUUUACUUGCUUAAGUUGCACGCUUCUUAUCCACUCACUAGCUUUGGAUCUUGUGGCAUUGCACAUUCUGCCUAAUCUUGUCAGAGACUGUUAGAAGAAAUGUUAUAUUUUGUAACAUUCAGAAACUAGGUUAUACUGAUGUUUCCUUUUGAAGUAGCGAGCUAAUACUUUACUGUGUUCAUAGCAUGUGUAGUAAGAACUGCAUGAAAGAUUUUUUCCCCCAGAUUUUGGACAGUAUUGCAGAAAAAAAAUCUUUACCUAGGCUACUAAGUCUCUACUACCCAACAAGCUUCUAAUACACUUUUUCCAUAGGUGGCACAAGGUGAACGAUGGCAGAUAUCUGUGGGCAUGGAUCAAUCUCUGCUCAGCUAGAUGCGCUCUAUAAAGCACAGUGAGCUCCUGUGGUUUUUGAGCAGCUGCCACUGGGGUUAUAUAUGCAUAAUGGACAAAUCCUAUCCAAACUCCAAGUGUGCUUCUUACAGAGCUUAGCAAAGAUGUUAUUGGAGAGGUUCCCUUAUCCUAGGAAUGUAACCAUCCCAGUCACUGCUUUUGUUUUUCACUUUUGCACUACCAUUUUAGAAUAUAUUUGAGUUUAUUUGUUCAAAAUGAGGAAACGCUUCCAGUACCUUGGCUUGGAUUUUCAGGUUUAUAAACAAGCAAAUAAUUUGUGAUUUGUCUGUAAGCAAACAGUGAAGUCCAAAAGAUGAGAAUACAAGAUCGUAACAAGUAACACUCCUCCUCCGGUACACCUUGCAAAUGUACAGUAACAUUACAAAGACCUUUAUUUCAGGUAUUCAGGGAACGGGAACGGAUUAAAAAGCCACAUGAAGUUAAUUAGAUCCAACGAUUUAGGGUUGAGGAGGGCUGUCAAAAGAAUAUUCUGCAACAAGCAGGCACCCGAAUGAAGCAGACCCGUGGCUGUCGGUGAUGACUGUAAUGGGUUCUCUGUGACAGGUCGAAUUGAACCGAGGAAAAGAGCCGCGGGAAAAAUAUCUCCUCACAUCGCCCACCCUGCGUGUUUCCCGCGGCGGGAGCGGGGAAAGCGGCGCCGCCUCGCCUCAGCUCCAGCCUCAGCCCCAGCCCCAGGGCAGCACCCCCGGCAGCGGU
Lagopus muta (rock ptarmigan) is the source of this 1979-nucleotide long non-coding RNA. RefSeq lists it as uncharacterized. The record is from RefSeq and is a predicted model, not a curated record. The transcript is spliced from 3 exons. Lineage: Eukaryota; Metazoa; Chordata; Aves; Galliformes; Phasianidae.